UGGAGCGAAAUGAAAAUCAGGAUUGGAGCCCCGACGCGCGCUAAGCGUGCCGCCUUCGGUCCCCACAGACGGCAGCCCGAGUCCGCGGGUGCGAUCCUGGGCGCCUCCGCCGCGGGGCCGCGAGCCAACCUGGGGUCGGGGAGUCGGAGCCAGGAGUCGGGGUCCCCGGCUCAGCCCCCGCCCAUCCCGAGCCAGCGCAGCCAACGGGCGUCUCCGGAACUUCGAACCCGCUGCAGUCGCACUUCUCGGGGCCACUGAAGAUGGACGGACGGAUGGACGGGACCUCCCCGCUGUCCUCAGAGCCACAGCAGAGUGGCGGCCACCCUGAACACGGGGCACCUGACAGCGCUCUUGUGCGCGCCGGCUUUCUUCCAGGUCUUUGAGGCUCUGCCACCUGCUGGUAGCAAAGUAGCUCGCUGUUUCUUUUCCUUGCUAAUUGUUCCCCAAAGAGUUGUUAGUCUAAAGGAACUGUGGCUUUGCUGACAGAAAGUCUGAGGUGCCAGCUCUUAGCUGUUCCUGAUGCCAUGCCUUUGCUCAGUCAUCAUGGACUUGAGUGCUCCAAAACGAUCCAAUCCCCCAGUCUCAUCCCUGGCUCUACAGCAGAUCUUCUGGAGUGACCUCUCUUCGCUGUCUACUCCCAUGCCAAGGAGACUAAAUAAACAGGACCCUGG
This is a long non-coding RNA of Microtus oregoni (creeping vole), 671 nucleotides long. RefSeq lists it as uncharacterized. The record is from RefSeq and is a predicted model, not a curated record. Lineage: Eukaryota; Metazoa; Chordata; Mammalia; Rodentia; Cricetidae. The transcript has 3 exons.